Molecule: non-coding RNA, 23 nt
Filed under: Cricetulus griseus (Chinese hamster)
Lineage: Eukaryota; Metazoa; Chordata; Mammalia; Rodentia; Cricetidae
Source: RNAcentral
UGAGAAGGCAAAGGACUGACUGA